UAAGCUUCUAUUAUUAAUAUAUAUAAUUUAUCAGUUAAAGUAAUUUGAAAUAUAUCUGAUAGUAUAAAUAACAAUACCGGGCUCAAACGAGUCUAGUAAUUGAAAUAUGUACAAUCUAAAUCCCUUAAUGAGGAUCUAUUGGAGGGUAAGUCUGGUGCUAGUGGGCGCAGUAAUUCAGCUUCAAUAGCGUA
RNAcentral lists this small RNA (191 nucleotides) under Helianthus annuus (common sunflower). Its description in RNAcentral is "sRNA HanXRQr2_Chr13g0603321". It matches the Rfam family "Eukaryotic small subunit ribosomal RNA", at positions 27 to 601 of the family's 1831-position model. The record is from RNAcentral. Lineage: Eukaryota; Viridiplantae; Streptophyta; Magnoliopsida; Asterales; Asteraceae.